Molecule: ribosomal RNA, 236 nt
Filed under: uncultured bacterium
Lineage: Bacteria
Description: partial 16S ribosomal RNA
Rfam family: Bacterial small subunit ribosomal RNA
Source: RNAcentral
CGGGACGGGUGAGUAACGCGUGGGUAACCUGCCUUGUACAGGGGGAUAACAGUUGGAAACGGCUGCUAAUACCGCAUAAGCGCACGGCAUCGCAUGAUGCGGUGUGAAAAACUCCGGUGGUAUAAGAUGGACCCGCGUUGGAUUAGCUAGUUGGUGAGGUAACGGCCCACCAAGGCGACGAUCCAUAGCCGACCUGAGAGGGUGACCGGCCACAUUGGGACUGAGACACGGCCCAA